UGGGGAAUAUUGGACAAUGGGCGCAAGCCUGAUCCAGCCAUGCCGCGUGAGUGAAGAAGGCCUUAGGGUUGUAAAACUCUUUCGCCGGGGAAGAUAAUGACGGUACCCGGAGAAGAAGCUCCGGCUAACUUCGUGCCAGCAGCCGCGGUAAUACGAAGGGAGCUAGCGUUGUUCGGAAUUACUGGGCGUAAAGCGCACGUAGGCGGACUUGUCAGUCAGGGGUGAAAUCCCAAGGCUCAACCUUGGAACUGCCUCCGAUACAGCAAGCCUAGAGAUCGGGAGAGGUGAGUGGAAUUCCUAGUGUAGAGGUGAAAUUCGUAGAUAUUAGGAAGAACACCAGUGGCGAAGGCGGCUCACUGGCCCGAUACUGACGCUGAGGUGCGAAAGCGUGGGGAGCAAACAGGAUUAGAUACCCGGGUAGUCCCUGAGCGGGCUGGCAAGGCG
RNAcentral lists this ribosomal RNA (444 nucleotides) under uncultured bacterium. RNAcentral describes it as "bacterial SSU rRNA". It matches the Rfam family "Bacterial small subunit ribosomal RNA", at positions 355 to 822 of the family's 1533-position model. The record is from RNAcentral.